RNAcentral lists this ribosomal RNA (301 nucleotides) under uncultured bacterium. RNAcentral describes it as "partial 16S ribosomal RNA". It matches the Rfam family "Bacterial small subunit ribosomal RNA", at positions 509 to 807 of the family's 1533-position model. The record is from RNAcentral.
CAGCCGCCGCGGUAAUACGUAGGUGGCAAGCGUUGUCCGGAAUUACUGGGCGUAAAGCGUGCGCAGGCGGUUGUGUAAGACAGGUGUGAAAUCCCCGGGCUUAACCUGGGAACUGCGCUUGUGACUGCACAGCUAGAGUAUGGCAGAGGGGGGUGGAAUUCCACGUGUAGCAGUGAAAUGCGUAGAGAUGUGGAGGAACACCGAUGGCGAAGGCAGCCCCCUGGGCCAAUACUGACGCUCAUGCACGAAAGCGUGGGGAGCAAACAGGAUUAGAUACCCCGGUAGUCCCUGUCUCUUAUAC